UAUAAGGGAUUUUGAGUUUUUGUUUACAACGUUUGACUACUCGUCUUAUUCAAAUUUUUUUAAAAUUAUUAUUUUUUUUUUUGACUUACUUUAUUAUCUACGGUACUUUAAGCACAACUUUUGUUUUUUAUAUCUGCAAAAUAAAUUUGAAUAAGACGAGUGGUCAAACGUUGCAAUCAAAAACUCAAAAUCCCUUAUA
This 199-nucleotide microRNA precursor is filed under the name Oryza meridionalis. Its description in RNAcentral is "MIR812 microRNA precursor family". It matches the Rfam family "MIR812 microRNA precursor family". Lineage: Eukaryota; Viridiplantae; Streptophyta; Magnoliopsida; Poales; Poaceae. The record is from Rfam by way of RNAcentral.